Molecule: long non-coding RNA, 22666 nt
Filed under: Lynx pardinus (Iberian lynx)
Lineage: Eukaryota; Metazoa; Chordata; Mammalia; Carnivora; Felidae
Source: RNAcentral
AAGGACUCUUGCCCGACUCCUCUUGGCAGAGAUGGCUCUGGUUUCUCGGAGCGGUGGUAUGGCCAACAGGUGGGUGUUGCCCAGGAAAUUGUUUUUUCUGCUUUCUCAGUAGCUAUGGGCCAUGGGGAACACUGCCAUUUCCGGCCUUCUCUGCAUUAUUUGAUGAGAAUGCAGGUGAACUGCCCUGUGGUUUAAUUCCAAUGGCAGAGCAGUUAGCAUUUGCUGGUUUUUCUUGUCCCAGUGGGAACGCUGGUUUGCAUCUCACUGUACUUCCCUUGAGAUGUUGUGUGGGGUCCUUUAACCUGCAACGUGCCCCUCUGAGUGACGCCCACCCAGAUUCCAAUCAGAUCUAAACCAAUGGUCUCAGCCUUGAGAGCUACCUGUGUGUGUAAAGGCCUACAAGUGCUGCCCACACCAGCAAUAUCAGCUGAAGAGUGUUUUCAAGGGACAUCAUUUCAAUGAUCCGUGACAUCUGUUUCUUUUCUGAGUUUUUCCCUGCACAGCUAAUGCAAUGAUUGUUUUUAAAUUAGAACCUCUUUUUUUCUGUCAUUCCUGUUAUUUCUUAUGUGAGGUCGAUUCUAACAUAAUAGCAAACAGUGGACGCACAUUUCCUAGACAAAGUCAUGAUUUUAUGAAGACAGGAAAGGGCUUAUGAUAAUUUCUGUGAAAUCCAUGUUUGAUCGUUCUUCUCCUUUCUCAGCUGAGAGGUGAGUUCUGACAGUGCUCAGUACAAAAAAGAUAAGGUUGUGAUUUUCUUUUUUACAUUUUAACUAUUUUUAAAUCUUUACUAUGGAACCAAAGCAGGCAGAAGUGGAAUAACUCAACAUACCCUAGAUAGCUACCUCCAAGGCUCCGUGUUGAUCAACCUUUGGCCAAUUCUGCCUCUUCUGAUCUCCAUCCACUAGCUGACUCCAGAUUCCUUUGGAGCAUAUCUUAGACAUCCUGUCAUUUCACACCUAAGUUUUGUACUAUGUGGCUCUAGAAGAUAAACAUUCCCUUGAAAAGUCUAUCUCUACUUUUUAAAUGGAGAAACAUGUGGAACAUUUUCAGAGAGGAUUGAGAGAAGGGUGAUUCUCUCUUUAAUUAAAAAUUGAUUAAACUAAGCCACAUUAAUUGUUACUAGGACAGACGUAUUAGGAAUAGGAAUGGGAAUAGAUACAAUUAAAGUCAUUCAGAAGGAUAUGUUGUAAUUUUUUAGUCACUUGUUAAAAUCAAGGCUUUAUUCUGCAGACACAAUUAUUCACUUGGUUCAGAAUUCUAUACGUUGAAUGUAUCUCACCAGAGGUAAGCUCAGGUCCAACUGAUUGACUUUUCCAUUUGCGUGACGGUGGGUUAGUCAUGUUAGCUUUGUCUAGAUGUCUCCAAGCAUUUUUGACUGCAUACUUCUAUCAGUAAAGAAUUAAGCGUGUAUCCAUAGUAUGAAUUAUUAUUUAGAAAUCGUCUGUAUACUCUAUUAUGGUGGUAAGUGAAGUAUAUUGUAAACCACAUAUAAAAUAGAAACUAAAGAAUUAACUGAUAAAUAGGUUAUCUGCAGGUCUAAUAGGUACAGCAGGUCUAAUAUUUUCUUCCUGCCCUCAGUGGAUAUUCUUGUGCGUGCCCCAAUUUGAAGACAACUGGAGAAGGCAGUGCUAGGCAAUAUACAUCAUAGCGAGGUAUCAGUUGUCAAGCAGGACUGCCUGGGUUUGAAUCCUGGUGCCACUGCUCCUUAGCUGUGUGAUUUUGUACACAUCACUUAGCUCCUCUAAAUCUGUCCUCUCAUUUGUAAUACGAAGGCAUUCAUGCCUUAUAGGGUAUCGUAAGGUUUAAUCCUUGCACAGUGCCCAUUGUGUGGUAAGCAUUCAAUACAUUUUAGCUAAUAAUGAUGACGAUGAUAAUGCAGUCCUAGAGGGCUGGACCAAGGUUUGGCUUCCUCUUUUUACAGAGUGCCUGGCACACACUUAUUGGCACUUAUUUCAGUGUUCGGUGUGCUGAUGGUGGUGUGGGUGAUGACAGUUACGGGGAUGGUCAUACUGAUGAUCAAAAACACAGCGUACGUAUCGUCACUCGCUCGAUUUUAUUUGCAUUGAUGAUGAUGGUGACAGUAUGAUGACGGUUACAGGGACGGUCACAUUGAGAGUGGUGAAUAUGACCAACAGCAGAAGCCCUUUUGCAUUCCCUACUGGAACUACAUCAUCAGUGUUUGCGUUUGUCUUUCCUAAGAAUUUACCCAUCUGACAAAUAUGUUGACUAACUUGUUUUGCUGUCUCCCUUCCUGGCCUCUCUGCCCUGUUGAUCUGUUGUGCUGUUCUGCCCUCCUCUUGUGCUCUCGUGUCUCCAUCUCUCUGUAGAGCCUGCUGUUCCGCUUGCCCACACACAGGUCCAGGAGACGAACCAGCCCCUGUUCAGUGCAGGGCCAUUUCUUUGCCAGUGGCUAUUUGGUUCUCAUGUCAAAGAACCUGCCUAUCAGCCCCUGAGGACUAUGGGUAGUGCUAGAACCUAUGAAGUGUGGCCCUUUAUGGCCUUAUGCAAGACCACAUGGCCUUUAUGGUCUGUGUCUUUUCAGGUGUGAAAAAGGGCAGAUGUGGUAAGAAGUAAACUCAUCUGCUUAUCUGCAAAUGCCCAAACCUGAUCAGGCAGAGGUUCCUGGAAUGCUCUUGUUCAGGAAGUCUGCCAUCCAGCUCUGUGCCUCUGCUUCCCAAGGGAGGGAAGAGGGCUCCUGAGAAGGGCGGGAUCCCCACUGGCAUGAGAUCUCAAGAAAGCUCUUGAGGAAGGACUUUCUCCUUUCCAAAAUCAGGACAAAGGAAGGCUAGGGUUGUGCCCAGUGGUGCCAAAAGUAAGGGUAAUUACAAUAAAAAUUUGCCUUAGGCUCUUUUUCUGGGGGCUUGUGUUUUUCCCAUGAACCUCGUUGGCUGGGCUUUUGGGAGAUAUGCCCCACCCCCUCCAGGAGUGGUUCAGAUUUUAGAUGUUUAAGAAAUUCAAAGGUCUGAGGUUGACAUUUCAUUGGAAGCACCCUGAACUCUUUCAUUCUAGAUAUUGACUUGGGAAUUAAUCUCUUUAAGGAAUUCCAAAUAGAGUGGCACCUCAUACCCUUCCAUUUUUAAUCUUUGUCUAUAGACCAUGUGGUAUCUACCUCUAAUAUUCUGAAAAUGAGUACUGACACCUAAGAAUAUAUGUUUAUCUCUUCAUACUAAUUCUUCAACUGGGAUGUUGGUCGUGUCUCAAAAUGACUAGAGUAUGGAGUAUGUGAUUCUGUAGAAUGAGAUUAUGUGCUCCUAAAACACUAGCUAGGGGGGAAUUGCUCUUUAAUACAAAUAUUCUAAUGAUUUCAAAUACUUUAUCAGUUUGAUACUUAAUUCUAAAUAUUCUUGGGGUUAAAAUACACUUAUCUAAUAACCAAACAGUCAUGCUAUUCCAAACAGUUUGGGAUUGCCUUCCCAUCCACGGUUUUGGAAGUUUCCUUGGCUGGGAGACUCUAGGCCAGGGAAGAGAAAUAUAUUUCUAUUUGUGACUCUGAUGAAGUGGACUGCAUCCUUUGGAUAGUCACUCGAACGAGCACUGGUCACGGGACUGAUUUCUCAAGCAGAGGUGAAAAUGAAAGCCAGGCUGCUGUGUGGUUGGAGAGAUGGAGCUUGCGUCCAUACUUAGGAGCAUUGUUUGGGCUAAACAUGGCGGACUUGCCAGUCACAUGUAUCAUCUCCCUUUUCCAAAUCCAACCCCUGAUGAUAGGAAAGAAUAAAAGAGAAGAAAUAUGUCCAUCCACUGAUGAACAGAUACACAAAAUAUGGUACAUCCACACAAUGGAAUAUUAUCCAGCCAUAAAAAGACAUGAAGUCUACGUCUACAAAAUGGAUGAAUCCUGAAAAUGUUACACGAAGUGAAAGAGACCAGUCACAAAAGGUCACAUAUUGUACGAUUCUGUUUAUUUGAAAAGCCCCAAAUAGGCAAAUCCAUAGGAAUAGAAAGCAGAUUGGUGGUUUCCAGGGGAUGGGACCGAGGAGAAGCAGGGAGUGACUGCUUAAUAGGUAUGGGGUUUCCUCUUGGGGUGAUGAAAAUGUUUGGAACUAGAUAGAGGUGAUGGUUGCACAACAUUGUGAAUGCACUAAUUGCCACUGAAUUGUAUAAUUUAAAAUGGUUAAAAUGAAUUUUAUGUUGUGUACAUUUUACCUUGAUAAAAACAGGUAAAGGGGCAAGAGGAGACAUCACUGCAGACAUUUCCCAAAUUUUGGAAUAUGAAAGACAUUUGAAGAGAUGGCAAUUGACUUAACAGAGUGGAGGAAGCAAUAACCUAAGUGACUAAGGGAGGAGGAUAGGGGGUUGGUACCAAUGAGAAAUGAGCCACAUUACUGGUCAGAACCAUAGAAAGGCUGAGGCUUGGAGAUACCAGGUGCUACAGUAGGUAGCAAUAAACAGGGAGAUUUCUUGAAAUUCAAGAUAUAGAGAAUUUGGAUGCUAAGGUCUUUUUUUUCCCCUAUGCCAAGCAGCCAGGAGAUCCUUUCCUGCCCCUUUCUCUGAGUUGGAAAGACCUAGCGACAGUCAAGCGCAGGGUGGGAUCCCAUCUUAAAAACAAGGGAGAAGUUCAAGUUGACAGGUGAGACACCAGCUGUCUUUAGAAUGCCCACAGCCAGGAUUGAACCAGCCCCUUAGAUUAUCCUGCCCCAAGAAGAAGACUGGAAUAUUCCUUUCCAAAGAAACUGACUAGUCCAAAAGAACACACCCAUUUUCUUAAUAAGACCCUUAUUUGGGGGACUUCCUCAGUAAAAAGGCAGCUCACUACAUCAGCUCCUGGGGAUGCUUCUGGUCAGGGUCCACCAUGAACCCAGACCUUCUAAUUGGUUGUAUGAUACUUUAGUUUUAAUUAUGGAAAGACAGGCUCACUUUUGAUGAAGCUUCUAAUAUGAAAGAGAGAAUAAAAUAAAGAGGAAAAAAAAAACCUUGGUAGUAUAAACAGAAAAGAAACUUGGCAGGAAAAGAAAAUAAGUUAAAAAACAGAAACUUUUAUAUAAUUAAUACCCUUUGGAGACAUAAAGAGAAUAUUGCAUCCCUGAAAGAAGUAAAAGUUGCUAUGGAAACAGAUAAAUUAGACGAGAGAAAAGAGCUCCUGGAAAUUUAAAGAGUGAACAACAAAAUAAAAGUGAAAAAUUAGACAUAAGAUUGGAAGAUAAUGUUGAAAGAAUAAAACUUCAGAUUUCAAAAACAAUGCAGAAUCAACUUGGGAGGUGGUGUGCAACCAGAAGAAAUUUCUGGAGACUAGAGGAAAGGGAGGGAUCUAUUAUGUGUCUAUGAGUCUACGUGUCUAUGUGUCUAUCUAUCUAUCUAUCUAUCUAUCUGUUUUUAAAGUAGGCUUCAUACUCAACCCAACAUGGGGCUUGAACUCACAACCGUGAGAUUAAGACCUGAGCUGAGGUCAAGAGUUGGAUGUUUAACUGACUAAGAAAAGUUUCUGGAACAAAAGGCCAUGAGGUUUCCAGAUCGAAAAGAUUCACCUUGUAUUCAGAAAAAAACGGAGUAAAAAAACUCCAUUGAAACCCAUUCCUGUGAAAGUUUAGGACAAGAAGACCCAAAAUUUUUCAGAGGGUAAAGUGGGUCAUAUACAAAGGACAUGGACCCAGAAUGGCAUCAGACUUCUCUUGGACAAUACUGAAUGCUGAAAGAAAAGAAGCAAUGCCUUAAAAUUUCCAAGAAAAAAAAAAAGAUUUUUAACCGGAAUUCUAUAUCCAGUUCAACCAAAAUCCUGAUGUAAGGGAGGAAUUAAAAUAUUAUCAGACAUAGAAGGAGUCUAAAAUUUUACCUCCUAUGCACCUGAUCUCAGAAGGUAUUGGAAAAUCUACUUCGCCAAAACAAGGACGUGUAUCAACAAAGUAGAAGUGGGAUCUGGGAACCAGGGAUGCCACACAAUACAGGGCACAGCCAGGGUGUGGGGGUGGGUUCCCAAGAACAUGGCAAGGAUGAAUGGUUCUUGAAUGGACAGCACCAGAGGAAGAAACAAAAGGGAUAUUUGACCACCUUAAGCAUUUGGAAAUAAUAUUCAAAAUCUGUAUAACAGAUAUGUCACAACAUUUGUAUAAAAACAGAAGACACAAAGAAAGUCAGACAAAUGAAGAGUAAACAAGGCAAUGCUUAACUCCCGGAAAAACAAAAAUAAAAAAAGCUUUCAAGAAAGGAAAUGCAGGCUUCUUGGUUGGCUCAAUCAGUUACGUGUCUGACUCUUGAUUUCUGCUCAGGUCAUGAUCCUGGGGUCACAGGAUUGAGCUCCACGUUGGGCUCUGUGUGGCGUGUGGAACCUGCUUGGGAUUGUCUCUCUCUCCCUCUCUCUGCCCCUCCCCUGCUAAUGCUCUCUCUCUCUCUCUUUCUCAAAAUAGGUAAAUAAACAUUAAAAAAAAAAAAAAGAAAGGAAAUGCAGUCAUGGUAUACCACCUGACUAAUUGGUGGAUAAUAAUGUGCAUAGUCACUGAGUUUGGUUUGACCCCAAGUUGUGACAUUUUGGAGGAAAGGGCAGGGACAGUGGGGUAUAAAAGAGCUAAAUCUAAACCUUCAUUGGUGAUAAUGUCUAAAAUUGACGUCGAAUGAUGGCAGCACAGGGACAUUAUUUCGAGAUGGGGUUGCAAAUACCAGAAGAAAAGCCAAGAGAGGCAAAAGUGCUUGCCUCUGCAAACAGAACUUAGCAGGUGAUGGCGGGGGGAACGGGAACUUGCUGUUUCCUUGUUGUUAUCGUGACCCUUUUGGUGCCAUCAACCAGGUUUUCAAUAAUGUUGAAAAUGUUAAAAACAUGUAUUUGUAGAAAAUAAAAACUAGUUUAAAAUAUUUGCCAUGGUGGAGGGUGUCAAUGGAUGAAUGCCAAGACUAGACAGUUUUGGUGACUUCCCUGUAUUCGCACCCCGAAUGAGCCCAGAUAAAAAUGAGUGGCAUUUACUGGACAUUUAUAAUAUACUAGCCUCUCCGCACCGUCUCCAUGAAUGUUUACCACAACCCUGUGAAGGAGGCUCUUUUCCUCUCUUCUUUCCCAGAUGAGUAAACCCAGGGAGGGAAGUGACUUGCCCAGGGCCCUGCGGCCAGCAGCCUGGAGGUGUGCAACUAGGAUUCAAACCAGGUCUAGGAGACCCCUCGCCCCGUGUGCUCGCCAUUGCAGUUUUGCCACCUGGCCUUGUCCUCUGAAUCUUCGCGAAGUGCUCUUAGGGCCUAAUUGUCUGCACCCUGUGCUGAAUGCUGUAAAGGUGAAUCACGGUGGGCACAGCGCACCAUGACUCCUGUUGAGUGUAACAGGUCAGAAAUCAUGGAAAUGCACACCCAUUGCCCAUUGACUCUGUGCUGGAACACAGUGAGGGGGUGGUGCAGAGAGCGCCUGGGGGCCUGUAAUUUGGGGGACCCGGAUGUGAUUCAGGGGUGGGGUACUGGUGGGCAGGGACGUGAGAGAAAGAAAGCUGCUCUUCUGGGCCAAACCUAUCCCUCAUCACUUAAUCCAUCACCAUGGAACUCCCCUUUCCCCUUCUACAAUCUCCCUCCAAGACCCACUUUCCAGUUUCUCUUUGUGUUCAAAUCUGAUGUUCUUUUUCGAGGAGUUGAUUUCAUUUUCCUCCUGUAUAAAAUAUAAAGAUGGACUUACUUUUAUUUUUUAUUUUUUUAAUUUUUUUUUCAACGUUUAUUUAUUUUUGGGACAGAGAGAGACAGAGCAUGAACGGGGGAGGGGCAGAGAGAGAGGGAGACACAGAAUCGGAAACAGGCUCCAGGCUCUGAGCCAUCAGCCCAGAGCCCGACGCGGGGCUCGAACUCACGGACCACGAGAUCGUGACCUGGCUGAAGUCGGACGCUUAACCGACUGCGCCACCCAGGCGCCCCUAGGUGGACUUACUUUUAAUUGAGAAAUACAGAAAAGCAAAAAUAAAUCACUCAAACACUUGGCCACAUUUCCCCUUUGUUUCUUUAAAAUUCAUUUUUAUUUGUUUUUUAAUCAAACAAAUACACAUUUAUAGCUUAAACAUUCAAAUAGUGCCCCAGGGUUAUAACGGCCAAGCAUAGUCCUUCCUAGCUCAGCACUCCAGUUUUUUCGGGUGCUGCUUCUGGUCAUUAUCUCCAUUGUUCCCAACACGUUUAAAUGACUUUUCUUAUUGAUUGAUUGAGUUUAUUGCCAUUCAAAAUGAGGACUUGGAUCAAUCACUUAUGGCGCCUUCCUCUCGCUGUGCCCACUUUCCCCAUCUGUAUUCACAGUCCUGCCCGUCUGCCAGGGAGUAAUAUCACCAUGUCGAGUAGUCAAGAGUCACUAUUUAUGCGAUAACUACGCAGAAUGUUCACAGCUGAGCCACUUAAUGUACUAGGAGGAGAUAUUAUUUCUUUCACCAGUCCUCAUCCUCUACCCCCGCCCUCCACCUCCCCCAGCAUGCACAAUUACAUUUUUCCUUUGCUUGAUCUUCCAAGUACCUGUCACUAAUUUUUCUCUCAACUCCUUUCUCCAAAUCUCAGUAAGACUUUUUUUUUUCCCUCUCAAUAAGAUUAUCUCAUCGGGUAGCCUACCAGUUCCACCUUUUUCCCUGUAGACGUCUCUCCCAGAACCUUCCACUUGGUGGUCAUCCCUACUGGCUGCUCCACUGUCUUCCUGGGAUUUCUGACCUUGCCUCCAUCAUCCCAGGAAUUCUGGUCUCACUGUUCCUGUGUUCGAUCACUUGUGUCCUGGAUCCCAUGUUUUUCUGUCUCUUGAGUUUAUUCCCUUCGUUGGGUCUAAUUCACCACCUACGAACUUCCUAAGAAAGACUGAAAGAUAAGUUUUUUGAAUUCUGGACUGAAUUUUGAAGUCACCAGCCCAGAAGCCUUUAUUGCUACACCACGAUUCCCCUUGCACUGUAGAUAGUCCCCCUUCUAUGUCCCCAGCUCGCCGUGCACCCAUCCCCCAGGACAACAGUGUUGAGUGUCCUCGUUUGGCACGAGGCCACUGCCCAUGCCCAGUAAGUGCCAAUCAACAGCACCUGUCUUAAUAAUACCUUAGCCUCAACACCCAAGGUUUCAGUUGUAUUAAUCACCUAAUAAAGAAACCUUCACAAGUGCUAAUUACUAGUCUAGUCUUCAUAUGAGGCCCAUUUAAAGAGGUGCCAUUUUAGAAGCUGUCGUGCUGACAGUCACUUAACAAACGUUUAUUAAAUGUCUACCAUAUACAGGACACCAUGAUAGAGCUUUAACAUUUAGUCCUCAUGGCAAUCCUGCGAAGUGGGCAUUAUUGCCAAUUCUAAGUGAGGGAACAGUUUCAGAGAAUAAAGCUUCUUCAGCUAGUCAUUCACCACAUUUACUGAGAACCUACUAUGUGCUGGGUGAGGAGGAUACUGUGAGGGGCAGGCCCACAUGUCUCUGGCCUCUCGGAGAGUCUAGGUGAGCCAAAGGAGACAGACAUCAAGCAAAUAAUUUUACAAAUAGUUUAUUAAAUACAUUCGAGACAAGUGCCAUGAGACAGAAGUAUGAAGUGCCGUGUCCCCUAAUCUGGGGAAUUGGAGGCUGUUUCCUGGAGGCAGCAUAGUAGGUCUAUAAGAUUAGUGAGAGUUGGCCAAAUGAAAUGAGAUGUCAGGAAGAGAGAGAGGGAGGGAAGAGCAGGAGCUAAGCCUCAGGGGUGAGAAGGGGUUUGCAGAAGUGAGGAACUAACAGGCCAGUGUGACCAGAACCGAGCGGAAUGAUGUGGCAUAAAGCUCAGUGGGGACACGUCAAAGAGCAGAUGGUGAAGGGUUUGUGUGCUGGGACCUGAACACUCUCUCUGAGGGACCUGAACACUCUCUCUUGAGGACAAAGGGAGGCAAUGAAGAGUUUUGAUCAAUGGGCAUGAAAUGAUGAGAUUUAUUCUAUAAAAACUCCUUGUGGUUGUUAUGGGGACACUACAUUGGAGGAGACAAGAGUGGACAUGGGGAGAGCCAAGGAAAGGCUGCUCCAGAUGUCACAACCGUGCUGACAGCUGCUUGCAUUAAAGGGGGUGCCGGUGGAGAUGAGGACAAGGGAGGGACCCAGGACGUCUGUGGCAAGAGGCUUGUUCAAGGUCACAUGAAGCAGAGUCGGGAGCUAAACCCAGCCCUUGUGGUGGAAAGGCCAGCACUCUUUCUGAUACAUGAGAACCGCUUCUUAUUCUGUGCAAGGGUGAGAGGGUACACACGCAGAUUCUCUCCCUGGGCACUGGUUGGGGAUGCCAAGUUAUAACCCAAUAGUCGUGAAGAAUCUCUUCCUUGUGCAAUGAUAGAGCUCCUAAAUUAGGCUGUGUAAUAUGUCCGUCAUCUGGGAUAGAAGAAGAAAACAGUCACUGCUUUUAAGAGCGUGCACAUCCUAAUAAAGGCUAUAGGAAUGUAAACAGGGUCCUCAAACAAUACUAAACACGAGGGAGUUGUAGAAGCUCUAGAAUCUCACACAGCUCUUAAGAUCACAAUCCCAGUGCUACACUUUUUGACUCUUUGACUACACUACACCCAGCAAUAUCUUUGUGGUCCUGGAACCAUACAUCCUCCUAAACAGACUUAAAAUAACAUCACUCUUGGCCUUACCCUGAUUCUCAAUCCUGGCCAGAAACUGUGUUUCUCGGAAACAAUGGUGACAUAUUUUGAAAUUAUUUUAUUAUGUUUUAAGUCUCACUGUUCUCCUAAAUAAUUGAUCUUCAUGGAUUUAUUGAUCAAUGCUUAAAAACCUCAUUAAUGAACUUCUUGGGCACAGGACCAGUAGGUGUGAAGUUUGAGAAUUUAACCAACCAUAUGACCUAAAUUCCCUGCAACAUUCUUAGUUUCCAUACAUAAAAACCAUCUUUAGAACAUGUACCAAAUUUAAGCUUGAAAAUAGAAUUCACCUCCCAGGCAAAGUGUGUAGGAACUUAAGAGUACAGCUAACCUUUGAAAAAUAGGAGUUUGAACUGCAUGGGUCCACUUAUAUGUGGAUUUUUUUCCCGAUAAAUACAGUAAAGCACUGUGAAUGUAUUUCUCUUCUUAAUAAUCUUAAUAUUUUCUUGUCUGUAGCUUGCUUUAUUAUAAGAAUACAGCAUAUAAAGGAUGCCUGGGUGACUCAGUUGGUUAAAUGCCCAGCUCUUGAUUUCAGCUCAGGUCAUGAUCGUGGGAUUGAGACCCACAUAGGGCUCCAUGCUGACAGUGCAGAUCCUGCUUGGGAUUGUCUCUUUCCUUCUCUCUCUGUCCCUCCCACUGUCUCUCUCUCCCUCUCCAAAUAAAUAAAUAAACUAAAAAAAAAAAAAAAAACACACAGUAUGUAAUACAUAUAAACUAGAAAAUAUGUGUUCAUCAGCUGUUUAUGUUAUUAUGGCUUCUGGUCAAUAGUAGGCUUUUAGUAAUGUUUUGGGGGGAGUCAAAGUUAUAUGUGAAUUUUUGACUGUGCAGGAGGUCAGCACCCCUAACCCCCAUUGUUGUUCAUGGGUCAACUGUGUGUGUUUCCAAUGGAAACUCUGGAGUUCAGUUUCAAAAGGGAGGCAGAAACCCAUGGACCUAAGUUCCUAGACUAGGAAGUCUCUUGCAGAUGCCUUGAGAAUUCAGGUUGUGCCCUUUGGGGACACUCUCCUAGCUGCCAUAUGGAUGGGGCAGGGCUGAGUGAAAAAAAGUAUUGUUUAUGGAACAUGAUUUAUUUUCAAAGGUUGUAAAACUCCGUGUUACCUGGCCCAGGCCUUAAUGAAAUAGUUUGAAGAACACGAAGAAAGUACACAUGAAGUUCAGUGGCAAGCUGGUAAAUAUUUAUUGACCUAAAGAAUGUGCAAAUGUAAUUUAUAGAUCACAAAUGAUACAAUAAUCUUUAUUGUAAAUUCCUUAUAGCUAGUGGAUUCCCACAGAAUGCUUCUGAUUUUUGCUCUGGGCUCCUAUAUCCAGAGUGUAGCCAAUCUAUUAUUUCACUUGAUGAACAAACUCAGUACCCACAUGAAUGUGGGUUGAUAUAACAACAAAGCUGUAUGUCGGGUGUUCAAUCAUUUGUCAAUGAUAAGAGCAAGUUCUUUGCUGAACGAAAUGAUACUUUUCAAAUAUUGGAGGAAUACUUCCUCAGGUUUUUUUGCACCAUUCAUAAUGUAUUGAAUGUAUUCAACCUUUACAGUAAAGUACUGUAAAUGCACUUCUCUUCUUAAUCAUUUUCUUAAUGUUUUCUUUUGUUUAGCUUGCUUUAUUGUAAGAAUACAGUAUAUGAUACAUAUAACGUACAAGAUAUGUGUUCAUGGCCUGUUUAUGUUAUUAUGGCUUCUGGUCAGUAGUAGGCUUUUAGCGAUGUUUUUGGGGAGUCAAAGUUAUAUGUGGAUUUUUGACUGUGCAGGGGGUCGGCACCCCUAACCCCCGUUGUAGUUCAAGGGCCAACUGUAUGUGUUUCCAGUGGAACCUCUGGAGUUCAUUUUGAAAAGGGGGGCAGGAACCCGUAGAUCUCCAUAAACACAUUUGAAAAUUUAAUCAGCAUUAUUAACAUUUUUUUCCAUCCCUUUCUUAAAAGUCUUGACCAGGGACCAGUAAACUAUGGCCUGCAGGCCAAAUCCGAUCCCCCCAACCUCUCUCUGUAAAUAAAGUUUAUGGGAACAUGGCCAUGCCCCAUGGUUUCACAUAUCGUCCGUGGCUGUUUUUGUCCUACAGUGGCAGAAGUGAGUAGGUUAGGCAGAGACUGGCCACAAAGCCCAAAAUAUUUACUCUCUGGCCCUUUACUGAAUAGAGUUUGCCGACUCCAGGUUUGGAUAGUCAAUAAAACAGGAAAUCAGGCCUUGAUCCGGUGCUGUUUGCUGAUUUCUGUGGUAUAACUACUCCCACGGUGGCUAAUUUCACUCUUGCAAGGCGCCAUCACCAGCCACAGAGUCGGGAAGAUUGAACACCCAACAGCGGCUCUAGCUGUACGGCCACAGUACAUAGUACAUAACUUCAAGAGCAUCCAUCACGGUAAAAUAAUGAAGAGCUGAAGAGCUUUGAGUAUUUAUCUUUGUUUCUAAAUAUAAUCUAUUUAGUUAUGAUUUAUAUCAUUGAAUUUUUAGUAAUGGUUGUGUUUAACGACAAGUGGUCCUCAAAGUUUCGGAGCACGUAACGAUCCCUCGGCAUGAGCUGGUUCGAUUGCUUUCCUGUAGUGCCCAGCCAUCUUUUUCUCCCCCAUCUCUGGGGGACAUCCCCGUCUUCCCAGCACACCUGGCUCCUGAAGUGUCCUGUGCCCUUUUAAUGACCCUCUGGCUGUCCAGGGACCCCCGUUUUUCCUGUCUUUGAUAUCUUGCUCUCACACCGCCCCAUUCCCUCUCAUCUGCAUUCACAAUACUUUGAGUUCUGUAGGAGAACUGGUCUCAGAUAGCUGACAGAAAUUCACAACAAGGGAUAGCUGAUCAAAUCUUGGUGGUUGGGGCGCCUGGGUGGCUCAGCUGGUUAAGCGUCCGACUUCAGCUCAGGUCAUGAUCUCACGGUUCGUGGGUCUGAGCCCUGUGUCGGGCUCUGUGCCGACAGCUCGGAGCCUGGAGCCUGCUUCGGAUUCUGUGUGUGUCUCUUUCUCUGUCCCUCCCCCAUUCGCACUCUGACUGUCUCUCUCUCUCAAAAUAAAUACACAUUUAAAAAGUUGGUUGUUUCAAUAGGCCUGGAAAUGGCUGCAUUUAAAAAAAAAGAUUCUUGUCGACCCAAAGAUUCUAGAAUCUGAAUGUCUGGUCACACUGCAGGUGUAGGAAGUAUCUUUGGAAUUCUGGGGUGCCAACAUCUCUCAGUCCCGGGCAGGAGGUCAUCAUCUUCUCUACAGGGAAGCACUGGCCCAGACGUGCACCUGAUGGCUCUCAUUUCUCUAGACAACCUUUUCCUCUUCUCUCUUGGCUUUAGCCCUUACCCUCUCUCCCACUUGUCCUCUGUUUAAACCUCACUGUUGUGGCUGAGGUGAGGCAGGUGUUAUAUAGACUAGGCGGGGAGAGGAUCAAGAAAACUACAGCUGUUUGUGCUUAUCUAGAACCUUCGGCUCCUGCCUUGUGUGGUCGUGGCUGAUACUUGACAUAUCUGGUGUUUCGUCAGAAUUAGUGUGUUCUCUGUUCCGGCCAGCUCUGCCGUCUGGCACCUUGGCGUGUUGUGACGGGUAGAACUGCCAAUGGGAAGACAACAUAGCCAUUGAGAAGUAGGAGCUUGAGUGAGUCUAGGAGAUGGGGGGUGAGGGGGCGCUCCCAUACAGCCCUUAAGCUGGAGUGGGAGGACAUGGGAAGUCACGGCACAGAGUAUAAGAAGUGGGGUGAAAAUGCAGGAGGAGGGAGUUAGGUCAGGCUCUGGAAUGAUGGCAUUAACAAACAAACCAGAUGGAGGAAAAAGGCAUUUGUGUGUCAACACAUAUUUAUUGAGUAUCUUCCAUGUUUCAGGGCUUGUCUAGGCCCCGGACUACAGCCAGGGAAUAAAAGGAAGCCCCUGUUCUAGGUCGCUGACAUUUCUAGUGGGGUGGGACAGAAACAUGGCAGAAGGUAGCCUCAGAAGAACAGGAUGAGAGAUCAGGUGAGGAGCGAGAUUGUGGAGCGACCAUGGGGGCGAGAUAAGAAUCUCUUGGAAGGUUUUGAGCAGGGGGUGUUACAUUCUGACUUGUAUGUCAAAAUGGCAACUCUGAGUUGAUUGCUUUUCAGAAAGCCCAGGUAAGAGGCCGCUGCAAAGUCCAGGUACAGGUGGUUGGGUCACAAGGAGGUGGUGCGAAUCCACAAAUUCUGGACAUGCGGUGAGGACAGAUGGGUCAUGGGCUGUGAAGAGAAGCAGAGGAAUCCUGGAAAGACUCCAAAGGUUUUGGCCUGAGGAAGUAGAUGCAUAGGACUUCCAUUUACUGAGGUGCAAGGCAUAGGGAGGGUGGGGUGGGGGUUAGGGAGGAUCAGGAGUUUGGGGGUGGGCAUGAUAGUUUUGAUGGCUUAGUGGAUGAGGUGCAGAUGUUGAGUCGAUGGCUGCAUCUAUGAAUCUGGAAUGCAGAGGGAGAGGACGAUGCUGUUGGUAUAAGUCAAGGAAUCAUUUAAAGGCACGAGGCUAGGUUAACUAACCCAAGUGUCGAGGGAGAUUCGAUACAGAAGAGAACGGGUCUGAGGAUGGGGCUUUGGGUCUUGAUGUUCAGAGGUGAGGACCCAGCAAAGGAGAUCCUGUAUUUCUAAAAUGAGAAGGCAUGAAGAAUCCUCUUUGUCAGGGCAUUUACCCAAGGGUUACCUGGAAAUGGCCUAGGGGGUGGGGAGAUAAAAGGUCCUCCUGACAGUCCCCUGGACCCAGGCUGGUGGCCUGAGCUAUAGCGAGGAGCUCUGCUUCACCCCACUUUCUCAGAGAUGGUGACACCUGGCAAAAUUUCUCUAAGUCAAUUUUAUUGAUUUAUUUUUCUCUUGAAGUCAAUUUGAAAUUAAAAGGCACGUCAUAUGGCUUUCCAGUGUGUUCUACAGUGGAGCAAAUAACAAUAGGAUGUGGUAGCCACGAAAAGACUGGGUGCUUCUGAAGUUGUCAGGCUGGAAGAACAAGGAGCGGGUGAAUGCCGUCUUGCUACUCCCUAAGUAGAGAAGCCACAGAGGGCUGUGUUGGGAGCACUUUGUACCUUGCCUGGCCCACACUGGGUUAAAUAUCGUUUUCUCCUUCCAAGUCUCUGCUGACUGGUAGCUGUGUGACCUCAGGAAAAUUGCUUAACUUCUCAGAGCCUCUGUUUCCUCAUUGGUAAUGACUAUUCCCCCAAAAGGUGUUUGUAAAGAUUGAAUAAUUUUAUUUUUUUAUUUUAUUGUUUUAAAAUAUUUAUUUAUUUUUGAGAGAAAGAGAGAGAGAGAGAGCACACAGCAGGGGAGAGGCAGAGAGAGAGAGAGAGAGAGAGAGAGAGAGAGAGAAUCUGAAGCAGGCUCCAGGCUCUGAGCUGUCAGUACAGAGCCUGAUGUGGAGGUGAAACCCACGAACUUCUAGAUUAUGACCUGAGCCGAAGUUGGACGCUCAACUGCCUGAGCCACCCAGGCGCCCCAAGAUUAAGUAAUUUUAAAUAGAUUGAAGCCUGUAGUGAACUGCAAAGUUAUAUACAAAUACGAGGCAGAAGCGGCUGUGCCUAUAAGAAAAUAGCUCAAUUUACACAAUAAUAGAUUCUCACCCUUUGCAUAAAUACAGGAUUUCCAUACUCAGGUCACCGGAGCUGGCCUUCUUCAGCACGCAAGUAUUCCAAUUAGACAUGGAAGCACUCUCCACUAUUAUGUCAUAUAUUUCUUGUGGGCUCAGAGAGAGAAGAUGAGCUUACUAGUCAUGCCCUGUUGCCAUCACCGACUCCUGAGUUGGAAAUAUAAAGAAUUCUCAGCUCCCUCAUCUAUCUGUCCAUGCUCUUACCUCUGGUGUCCAAUCUGCCUCCUUUCUAUGCCGAUUGCCGGUUGAAAGUGCCUCUGGUCUUCCUCUUCUGAAUUCUGUGAAAUCAAUAAAAAGCAAGAGGCAGCAUGCAGGGUGAAGGUGAUCCUGUCUGUGCUGGCCUCAAUUAUGGAGUCAGUUUAAGCUCAAGUGUGGGGUGAGCAUAAGCCUGGCGGAGGGGGUGUAGGGAGGGUGAGGGCUGAAUUACAUAAAGGGUCAGGAGAUCUGCGUUCUAGCCGUGACAUUCACAAACCGUCUCUCUACAGCAUUUCCAUUAGUCGAAGGAAAGGAAUUGGAUCCCAGCUCUUCUAGCUCUUUUCUCUUUGGGACUCUGACUUCACUUGUUUGGAGACUCAGUCUACUUAUUUCAGCAUCGUUCCACUAGGUGGCGAUGUUUCCUUAACCCCCAAGCAAGUUUUCAUUCUGGGAAAAAAGCCGAGUUUCGUAGCCAGUUUUUUUUUUCUCCCGUGAAAGUGCGAAAGAAUGAUUCUCUCUCUCUCUCUCUCUCUCUCUCUCUCUCCCUCCCUCCCUCCCUCCCUCCCUCUCUCUCUCUCUCUUUUUUAAAAUAUAAGAGGGGAGCCUGGGUGGCACAGUCGGUUGAGCGUCCGACUUCAGCCAGGUCACGAUCUCGCCGUCCGUGAGUUCGAGCCCCGCGUCAGGCUCUGGGCUGAUGGCUCAGAGCCUGGAGCCUGUUUCUGAUUCUGUGUCUCCCUCUCUCUCUGCCCCUCCCCCGUUCAUGCUCUGUCUCUCUCUGUCCCAAAAAUAAAUAAACGUUGAAAAAAAAAAUUUAAAAUAUAAGAAUGAUUCUCCAAAGCUGGGGACGAAAGAAGGAACUUUCCUUCUGAACACCUCAGGCAGUUUAUGCUGGAAACAGACAGGGCCUCUGUUUAGAGAUUCCUCCUCUCUGCUGGGAGUGGGAACUCAGGCUAGAGUUUUGCAUUCUGUGAUUGCACAAGGGCUGGGGGCGGCGGAGGGAGGGGAAGAGGCGGGGGCUGGGAGACGUUGGAAACGCUGGGUCCUAGGGAGGUUAGGGGGCGGUGGACGGUAGGCACGAGCUCUGGGCCCGCGUGAGCCCUGCAAGACUCUGCCCGGAGAAGCGCACUGGAUGCCAACUUUUCCGGGCUCCGCAGGAGUAGGCAUUGCCAGAUGCUCCCACCAGGGGCUAGGACGGUCCUCCCAGAAUCGGACUGCUUUGCUCAUGAAGGUCAGAGAUGCACGAGGGCAGCAUGAAGCCCAGCCUCCUUCUCAUGCAGAUGGGGAAGCUGAGGCCCAGAGCGGGUCAGUUCUCCUAAUGCUACCUCCCAGCCAAAUUACUUUGUCCUUACACAUUUCAAAUAGACUUGCCAACUGUCUCAUCUUGAGCGUGCAGCUAGCGCAUCUAGUAGUUAAUUAAGCCUGCGAGCCUCCCACCCGCCGAGCCCUUGCACCGUGCACACCAGGACAUACUGCACCGGAAGAGUUGGGGUGAUUUGCUCAAAGACCUCAAACAGAACACCAAUCCAGUGGGGGAGACAACUCAUUUAAAGCAACUGCUUCUUAACCCGUAGAACAGAUCUCAUAGUAGGGUCCAUUUGUUUAUUUGCGUUUAAUAAUAAUGUAAUAAUAGCGAACUUUUAUUCAGUGGUUCCUAUGGACUGGGCCCUGUGCUAAGCACUUAGCAUCAUUGUAUCUAUCCUAUAGCAAUGUCAGCAAAUCUGUGAGGCAGCUAUCGCUAUCUAUUUAAAUUUUUUUUAAUGUUUAUGUACUUUUGAGAGAAGGCGAGAGUGGGGGAGGGGCAGAGAGAGGGAGACACAGAAUGGGAAGCAGGCUCCAGGCUCUGAGCGGUCAGCACAGAGCCCAACGCGGGGCUCGAACUCACAGACCGCGAGAUCGUGACCUGAGCUGAAGUCAGACGCUUAACCGACUGAGCCACCCAGGCGCCCCUGCUGUCUAUUUAUUAUAGAGGUUCAGAAAGGUUGAGUAACUAGCUUAAAGUCACACAGCCGGAAGGAGCAGAGCCAAUAGUCACACCCUAAUUUCCCUAAGUCAAGCUUUGGUCUUUUAGCCUCCACAUUGUGCUUCAGGACGCUGUCCCCCAUUUUUAGGAUCUGAUACAGAAACUUACCGGAGUUUCUGGAGGACCAGUCACUAUCUCAUCAUGUUCCUGUUGUGACAUGAAGGCUCCGUGGUAGCAAGCCAGCUUAGGGCCUAGAGACUUGGUGACAUCAGUGUCACAUCUGCAGGACACUCAGAACGCGAACGCACGACAUGAGGAGAGAUGCUCCCAAAGGAGGCUGUUGGCACCAGGAUCCAAGAAGCAGCGAGAAUCUGUGUUUGUUUGGAGGUGUUCCCACUACCCGUGAAGGCAGGGAUAGUCGGCAGUGUGGUGCCUGAGGAACAGCCACAUGACACCGGAGGCUGCUCUAGGGACCGUCCUCCUCCGUGCUGGGCUCAGAGUGUGGCAUUUAGUACGCAUCACCUCACCUGGGACUCCUGGCGGCGUGUUGCCCCAGGGACCACUUUGUCCCCACCUUACCAGGGGCAAUAUCUCAAAUACAGGAAGUUCUCCUCAACAAACUGAUGCCAGAUACAGAUAGCCUUCAGAAAUCCAGGUUUGCGUGUUCUCUCAAAAGGGCACGAAAUUGAAAUACUUUAUUAAGUUGUGGGAUAACAACCAGUUAUCCCGGAGGUGCAGUUACUGUUAUAGAAAAAGGGACGAGGAUUUCCAGCCUGACAGAUUUAGAUUCCCCGGCUCAAUAACCACGGGACCUUGGGCAAAUUACCUAACCUCUUUGAGUCUCAGUUUCCUCAUUUUCUAAAAGGGGGCAAUAUUGCAUACGUCCCAGGGUUACAGUGAUAGUCAAUGAGAUGAUGUAUGUGAACUGCCUGGUGUAUUUUGUGCAACGUCGUAAGUGUUCAGUAAAUACUAAUGAUGACGAUGAAGGUGGUUACUGUUAAUGCCCUUCCAGCGAGCUGCCCACCCUUAUUCCAGAUCCUUUGUGACCACUGCUGGGGACUUUAGAAUCUCUGAACCCACCGAAACCCCGCUUAUCCAGAGGGCCUUGCCAUUUCUGCCUGCUGAUGGCUCAUUUGUCUUGGGGAUGACCUUCAUCCUCCACAUUCCCAUUCCAUGGUUUGCCAGAAUCCAGCAUUUAGGCAGUGAAUUCUCAGGGCUGUAGGAGCUAUGGUCUAUGAGGAGUUUACUACCUGUGCCCAAUAAAUGUUCAAUGAAUAAAUAAGAGCCAAUAAAACUGUAAAAGCAAGAAUAAAAAUGAGUAUCCUUAUAAGCACUUUAGAUCUUAAAAGGUCUUUAUAUUCGGCUGCUCGGAGUCAAACUUGUAUCCAAUAAAGAUUUUACAAAGGGUCUGGAGUUGCACCACCAAAGGAAGGGGGAGGCUCCAAUAUCCAUCCCUGGCCGGAUGAACAGCCACCCAGGGCGGGGCCAGUGGCCUUGCGUCUCCAGGUCUGAUAAACUCCAGGAAAUACAUUCAGGCCAAAGUAUAUUUCCUAUCAGUGGAAGAAGACCAGAAAUGGAAGAGGGAGACAGGGAGGAGACCUCCCAAGGGCACCUCACUCCAACACUAGGGACUAUGAAUCUACAACAGGAAGGCUUUAAAAAAGUCGUGUCAGUCUGUCUUGAUGAUGUUCUAGUAGCUAAAUAGAAAGGAGCCAUGAGGACGGCCACAAAGACCAUCAUAUCUCACCUCCAUCCACCCACCACAUUGCCUGAAAUGUUACCAUUAGGAUUCUUUUCCUUUGGGUUUCCUUUGAGUUUUGAGUUAACAAGUAAGAGUAAUGUCUGGAAAAUUCUUAUUUUACAUCCUCAACUUUUGGAUUUUCUCUUCUAGAUCAUAAAGACAAACAAUAGCAAGUAACUUCUUAGUGUUUUUUCCUUCUUAUUACAAAAGAGAUCCACAUUCAUCAUAAAAUAUUUGCAAAAAGAGAUAAGCAAAAUUAAGGAAAUAAAUUCAGCCUAUAAUGUAAUUUCCCAGGGAUAGUGAUUAUUAAAAUUUAGGUAUUCCCUUCUGCCAUUUUCUUUCUUUUUUUUUUUUUUUUUAAAUUUUUUUUUUUCAACGUUUAUUUAUUUUUGGGACAGAGAGAGACAGAGCAUGAAUGGGGGAGUGGCAGAGAGAGAAGGAGACACAGAAUCGGAAACAGGCUCCAGGCUCUGAGCCAUCAGCCCAGAGCUUGACGCGGGGCUCGAACUCACGGACCGCGAGAUCGUGACCUGGCUGAAGUCGGACGCUUAACCGACUGCGCCACCCAGGCGCCCCAACGUUUAUUUAUCUUUGAGACAGAGAGAGAGACAGAGCAUGAACGGGGGAGGGUCAGAGAGAGAGGGAGACACAGAAUCGGAAACAGGCUCCAGGCUCUGAGCCAUCAGCCCAGAGCCUGACGCGGGGCUCGAACUCACAGACCGCGAGAUCGUGACCUGGCUGAAGUCGGACGCUUAACCGACUGCGCCACCCAGGCGCCCCAACGUUUAUUUAUUUUUGAGACAGAGAGAGACAGAGCAUGAACGGGGGAGGGGCAGAGAGAGAGGGAGACACAGAAUCGGAAACAGGCUCCAGGCUCUGAGCCAUCAGCCCAGAGCCUGACGCGGGGCUCGAACUCACAGACCGCGAGAUCGUGACCUGGCUGAAGUCGGACGCUUAACCGACUGCGCCACCCAGGCGCCCCUNUUUUUUUUUUUUUUUUUAAAUUUUUUUUUUUCAACGUUUAUUUAUUUUUGGGACAGAGAGAGACAGAGCAUGAAUGGGGGAGUGGCAGAGAGAGAAGGAGACACAGAAUCGGAAACAGGCUCCAGGCUCUGAGCCAUCAGCCCAGAGCUUGACGCGGGGCUCGAACUCACGGACCGCGAGAUCGUGACCUGGCUGAAGUCGGACGCUUAACCGACUGCGCCACCCAGGCGCCCCUGCCAUUUUCUUUCUUAAUGAAACUUUUUUUCCUAUGAAAUUUAAUAGAAUACAAUGUACCUCUCUUUUCCUUUAUAUUUAACAUUCCUUAUUUCUUACUUAGAAAACCUUUUCCUGCGUUAUGAAAAAUUCUCCUAUAUUUUCUUCUAAAUGUUAAUAAUUUGUAGUUUUAUACAGUUGUUGCCUUUCAGAUAAAGUUAGCAAUCUACCUAGAUUGACAUCUGUGGAUGGCAUAAGGUAGGGACAAGUUCUAUUUUUCGCCCCAAAUGGAUAUCCAGGUGUGUAUCGAGACCAUUCUUUCCCUACUACUCUGCAAUUUCACUUUUUGUUGAAAAAUCAAUGGUCCACGCACGGUGGCUCUCUUUCUGGGCGCUCCUGUGUUCCAUUGGACUGUCUGUAUGUUGGACAAGACAAGGUGGGCUAUGCUUUGUUUUGGGUAACGAAUAACCCCAACAUGUCAUGGAUUAACAUACUAAAGUUAUUGUUUUUCUUUACUAGCAGAUCACUGGUGAUACAGAAUAUGCGUCAGGGCAACUGUCCUUCAUGAAUGAAGUCUCUGCAUCAUCGGGAGCACUCUCUAUCCCAAGAAGAGAGACUUGGGUCUCUCAUCAUCUCAACGGCACUCAUCAUUCACUUCCUCUUACAACCCAUUAGCCAGUGACUCUCUCAGUAAGAGUUAGACUCAUGAGCAAAGGGCUGUGAAGUGCUGUCCGCCAUAUGCCUGGAAGGGGAGGCUACCAGAUAUUGGAAAACACGAGUUAUGCCUACCUUCAUCUAUACCAUUGACUGAAAGCGCUGGUCUUAAUCAUUUUUAUAGUAAGACUCCGUACCUAACAGACGAAAGACUCCGAUGCUGUGUUUCGACUUCAAGAAGGCCUUGGCUCGUCUUAGACCUUGGCAAUUCCAUACAAAUUGUAGGAAGUGUUUGUGAAGUUCUGAAAAAGAUCCCGAAUUCACAGCUGAAUCAAGGGAGAAUCGACACUGAAAAUAUCAAGUGUUCUAAUUCAGUAACAGAAUUUCUCUCCUUUAAUCCAGGUCUUCUUUAGUUUCUUUCAAUAAUGUUUUAUAAUGUUUAAAAAAAUUUUUUUUAACAUUUAUUCAUUUUUGAGAGACAGAGACAGAGUGUGAGUGGGGGAGGGGCAGAGAGAGGGGGAGACACAGAAUCCAAAGCAGGGUCCAGGCUCCGAGCCAUCAGCACAGAACCAGAGGCAGGGCUUGAAAUCACGGACCACAGGAUCAUGACUUGAGCUGAAGUUGGACACUUAAUGGACUGAGCCACCUGGGUGCCCCAAUGUUUUAGAAUGUUUUGCACAGAGGUCUUAUACACCUUUUGUUAGAUUUUCCCCUAAAAUUUGGAUAUGUUUAAAUCCUAGUGUAAAUGUUAUUUUCAAAGUUUUUUCCAUUUUAUAAAAUCUGUGGUUGAUAGGGGCACCUGGGUGGCUCAGUUGGUUUUAACCAUCCAACUUCGGCUCAGGCAAUGAUCUUGCAGUUCACUAGUUCGAGCCCCACGUCAGGCUCAGAGCCUGAAGCCUGUUUCAGAUUCUGUGUCUG